Molecule: microRNA, 21 nt
Filed under: Oreochromis niloticus (Nile tilapia)
Lineage: Eukaryota; Metazoa; Chordata; Actinopteri; Cichliformes; Cichlidae
Description: oni-miR-10913
Source: miRBase by way of RNAcentral
UAGCCCGGGCUGCUCUGCUGA